AGUUACGCUAGUGGAACUGACGGUGACUUUAAAGUUGCUGAGGAAGGUCCGCCCAUCGUAAAUGAGCCUUACUUGAUGUUCGCGUUUAGUAAGAAGUGGAGACACUUAGCUCUGGCACAGAAACGACACGUCCUACAUUUAAUGGAAUGAUAGAUGCGAAGUUUUGCGCGAGCAAAAUGAGAACCUUAACCUCUUGACGUCGAUGUAGGGAUCGGUGGAACGUGCGAAUCUGCUCUGAUGCAAGUUGUUACAACGCUUAGUCGAAUGUUCCUCUCAGUUAUCGGGAUUUUACUUAAUGUAAAGUGCUUUGGACUGGACAGAAGGUGGCCUAUUGCGUAACU
RNAcentral lists this RNase P RNA (341 nucleotides) under archaeon. Its description in RNAcentral is "RNase P RNA component". It matches the Rfam family "Archaeal RNase P". Rfam says of the family: Ribonuclease P (RNase P) is a ubiquitous endoribonuclease, found in archaea, bacteria and eukarya as well as chloroplasts and mitochondria. Its best characterised activity is the generation of mature 5'-ends of tRNAs by cleaving the 5'-leader elements of precursor-tRNAs. The record is from RNAcentral.